CCUACGGGAGGCUGCAGUGAGGAAUAUUGGUCAAUGGGCGCAAGCCUGAACCAGCCAAGUCGCGUGAGGGAAGAAGGCUCUAUGGUUUGUAAACUUCUUUUGUAUGGGAGUAAAGUGAGGAACGUGUUCCUUUUUGUAUGUACCAUAUGAAUAAGCAUCGGCUAACUCCGUGCCAGCAGCCGCGGUAAUACGGAGGAUGCGAGCGUUAUCCGGAUUUAUUGGGUUUAAAGGGUGCGUAGGUGGUUAAUUAAGUCAGCGGUGAAAGUUUGUGGCUCAACCAGAAAACUGCAGUUGAAACUGGUUGACUUGAGUAUAGUUGAGGUAGGCGGAAUGCGUGGUGUAGCGGUGAAAUGCGUAGAGAUCACGCAGAAUACCGAUUGCGAAGGCAGCUUACUAAACAAUAACUGACGCUGAGGUACGAAAGCGUGGGGAUCAAACAGGAUUAGAUACCCGAGUAGUC
This 460-nucleotide ribosomal RNA is filed under the name uncultured bacterium. RNAcentral's name for it is "partial 16S ribosomal RNA". It matches the Rfam family "Bacterial small subunit ribosomal RNA", at positions 338 to 795 of the family's 1533-position model. The record is from RNAcentral.